GAUCAUCUCUAUGGAUUAUGAAAAACUUAGUAACCUAUAUUUACCCAUCGGUCAACCGGUUUAACCACCACUAGGAAAGAUUAUUAAUUUGUCAAACCACAAGUAGAUACCAAGUUUAUGUAGGAUUUGCUAAAAGAGAUUUUAGUACAAAAAGUGAGAGCCCAACAUAGUCACGAGUGAGAGAGAAACAGGCAAUAAAUGAUUCUGAGGGAAUAUUUAAUAAGAUGAGUUCUUUGGUUUGGCUUCGGCCUUUGGGGGGGUCAGUCAGACCCAAACAAACACAACAUAUAAAACAAAAGUAAAUUCCUGUCCAAAGCCUUAAAAAUAGAGAGUAAAGGCAUAAUUCUUUUUGCCCGGUUCCUUAUUCAUUGCCCUUUACCAGUUCCCAUGAUAGCGAGACAUUUUUCACCUCCUGUAAUUUUAUUAUACAACAAUGUAACUAACACCAACAAAAGUAAAAAUAAGAAAAGGUUAAGUUCUUUAUUUGGAAUUUAUAUCAACCAUACAUCAAUGACCAACAAGAAGAUGCAAACAUUAGCUCAGGAGGGAUAGACAAGGUAGAAAAACUGAUUCAAAUGAACUAGGAGUAGAGAUACACACAUACUCAACACCAAAAAGAGAUAGUAGAGAGUCUUUAAAAGGAUAUAAGGUUGAGAUACUUAGAAAGGGAUGGGGUAUUACAAGGUCAAGAAAAGGUCUUGCAAGGUCAAGAAAAUAGAAUAAUUCAAUAGAACAGAAAAAAAAUUAAAACAAAAACCAAACGCUCGUGGCUUGGUGGUAAAGGAGGUACAGCUGUAUUGCCCGCCACCCGGGUUCGAGCCUUGGCCACAACGGAUUUAACAUCCCUUUCGUUGGGGCGCUGGACUCCCUACGGGGAUAGUUGGGAAUGUGGCUGCCCAGAUACCGGAGUUACCAAAAAAAAAAAAAAAAAAAAAAAAAAAAAAAAAAAC
This 950-nucleotide long non-coding RNA is filed under the name Brassica napus (rape). Its description in RNAcentral is "long non-coding RNA (BNAP_LNC010383)". Lineage: Eukaryota; Viridiplantae; Streptophyta; Magnoliopsida; Brassicales; Brassicaceae. The record is from RNAcentral.